GCUACGUCAAAUAAUUCCAGGAUCCAGCAAUAAAAAACCAUAGUUUAAUAUUCUACAAGACAAUGUAGGUGGCCAGGAAAUUAAUUAUGUACAUCCUAAUUGAAUCUGCUAAUUAUGUGAUCCAAAUAUCCAAGAAACACGGAAGGCAAAACCAAGCGGCAAAAUCUUGCAUUUAUAGAACAGUUAAUUGUGAAUAAGUCCACCAAUAAAUAUCCAUUCU
Molecule: unclassified non-coding RNA, 220 nt
Filed under: Hevea brasiliensis (rubber tree)
Lineage: Eukaryota; Viridiplantae; Streptophyta; Magnoliopsida; Malpighiales; Euphorbiaceae
Source: RNAcentral